CAGCAGAAGAGCUCACAAUUUUUACUUUCUUAUUUCAGUGGGCAAGUAACUCGAUUCACAGUUUUGUGUGAGCAAUAUCAACCGAGUUUAAAGAGAGAUCCAUCCUAUAGAGAGUAUUUAGACAGAAUUGGACAGCUAUUUUUCAAUCUUCCUGCACCUCGUCCCCAGCAAGGACCAGGGGGCAUAUUUGGUAAUUUGAUCCAGGGUCUCCUUGGUGGAGGGCUUGGUGAUGAUGACUCAGAUGAUGAUGGAAUCUCCAGUGGCCCUUCAACCUCACGACAACCACUGGCUGCUGAGGAGCUGGACUAAUGUUGUGUCUCAGUAGGAUUGUUGGGUGCUUAGGGUUAGUGCUAUUGUGAGAAUAUAAUACUGACUCACAUCAGCAGUUGAAAUUAAAUAUGUAAUUAUUUAUUUUUUUGAUUAUUAUUCCCCCGCCCCCCUCUUUUUUUUGUCUUCUGCUGUUCCUCACUCCUUCUCAUAAUUGUUCCUCCCCUUCCCUGUACCCCUGUUAUGUUUUGGAUGUUUAAGGAGAAUGUCAAACUCUGAUGUCAAUUUUAGCACUUGAGUGUUUUUCCUCUCCCUUUUGGUGUGUGUUACUGAUUUGAAAUUUGUACUUUUCACUGGUGUUGUUUCAGGAAACGGAGAAGAGCGACAUAAUUAAAUCUCCAUUUUUGGCCUGUCCAUGUACUUUUCAAUAGUCAUAGGAGGUAGAUUUUUAUUUUAUAUCAGUUUUUGCGCUGUUAUAAGAAUCAUGAGAAUUUGUAAAUAGCCAGAGAUGUUAUGUAGGCACCAUAGAUUUUGCUACCGAGACCACCAGUGUAUAGAUUAGUGUGAAAUUGGUUGAUGAGUUUAUUAGGUGUAAGUGGAAACAUUUGUAAUAUAUUGUAUAGUAUAAAAUCCACAUAGAUUAAUGUUGAGAGCUCUACCCAAAAAUCUGUGACCAGCAAUAUCUCAAUAGUAAAAUAUAUGUGAAGGACUGAACUUGAUAAUUUUCAAUUUUGUAUUAUUAGAGUAUUGAUGAAGUUAAUAUCUGACAUAUUAAACAAAGCAGAACACAAGGAGAGGAAGUGAGUAUUGAAGCAAGUUAUAGAAUUCUAAUGCAGAUGCAUAUUACAAACUGUUAGUGGAAUACUUGAAAAUUUCAUGUUGGUCUGAUUGUGUAAAAUCAGUGAAAGACUCAUUAUGCCUAGAUGUGGUUAAAUUCUUCAAUUUAUAUCUCAACUUUAUAAUGAGAGUAAAUUUCUCUGGCUUGUUUUGAAAUUUGCACCUCAGGGAAUAGCAUCUCGGAAAUAAUAUAUGUAUGUACUGCCAUGGUUUUAUCUUUCACCUGAUGGGAUUGAUAGCAGUUGUUGCAUUUAAGUUUUGUAGCUUGAGAAUAAUUGAAUUGUGAUACCCAGAGACUUGAGUACACCAAAUAGAGUUAUCCUUAAGGUAAGCAGUUUCUCUUUAUAGCUUUACAGUUAAACCAAACACUCAAGUAUAUGGCACAUCUAGGCAGUGAUUAAAUGUAUACUGUUUCUGGAAAUAUAAAUGAUUAUCUACUGAUGAGCAUUAAAAUAUCAAUCAGGUCUCCAUA
Molecule: long non-coding RNA, 1576 nt
Filed under: Penaeus monodon (black tiger shrimp)
Lineage: Eukaryota; Metazoa; Arthropoda; Malacostraca; Decapoda; Penaeidae
Description: uncharacterized LOC119569306
Source: RNAcentral